RNAcentral lists this small RNA (569 nucleotides) under Pan troglodytes (chimpanzee). RNAcentral describes it as "processed transcript". Lineage: Eukaryota; Metazoa; Chordata; Mammalia; Primates; Hominidae. The record is from RNAcentral.
ACAACCUGCUUAGUAAUGUUGAAAAAGGGAUCGAGUGCUCCUGUGUCCAGCACCAGCUUGCAGUGCUUUAGAUCAAAGAUCAAGGGCCUCGUUUGGAUUAGGGUUAGCUUUGCCCAAAGGCCGUUUGGACAUGUGAGUGCUGCCUUUGUUCUUAAAGACAGGCAGGGUUUGGGAUCCCACAGCUUCACUUUGUAAACCAUUUUCGUGUCUUGCGUCUCCUGCUAAUCUUGAGUGAUCAUCACCAUGCUGGUCGCCACCGCCGUCUGCUGUUACCUCUUCUGGCUCAUCGCCAUCCUGGCGCAGCUGAACCCCCUGUUCGGGCCCCAGCUGAAGAAUGAGACCAUCUGGUACGUGCGCUUCCUGUGGGAGUGACCUGCCGCCCCCGACCCAGGUGCCCAGCUCUCGGAAUGACUGUGGCCCCACUGUCCCUGACAACCCCUUCGUCCGGACCCUCCCCCACACAACUAUGUCUGGUCACCAGCUCCCUCCUGCUGGCACCCAGAGACCCGGACCCGCAGGGCCUGCCUGGUUCCUGGAAGUCUUCCCAGUCUUCCCAGCCAGCCCGGGCC